This 465-nucleotide ribosomal RNA is filed under the name uncultured bacterium. RNAcentral describes it as "partial 16S ribosomal RNA". It matches the Rfam family "Bacterial small subunit ribosomal RNA", at positions 28 to 507 of the family's 1533-position model. The record is from RNAcentral.
GACGAACGCUGGCGGCGUGCUUAACACAUGCAAGUCGAACGGAAAGGCCCUGCUUGCAGGGUACUCGAGUGGCGAACGGGUGAGUAACACGUGGGUGAUCUGCCCUGCACUUCGGGAUAAGCCUGGGAAACUGGGUCUAAUACCGGAUAGGAGCCAUUUUUAGUGUGAUGGUUGGAAAGUUUUUUCGGUGUAGGAUGAGCUCGCGGCCUAUCAGCUUGUUGGUGGGGUAAUGGCCUACCAAGGCGGCGACGGGUAGCCGGCCUGAGAGGGUGGACGGCCACAUUGGGACUGAGAUACGGCCCAGACUCCUACGGGAGGCAGCAGUGGGGAAUAUUGCACAAUGGGCGCAAGCCUGAUGCAGCGACGCCGCGUGGGGGAUGACGGCCUUCGGGUUGUAAACUCCUUUCGCUAGGGACGGAGCUUUUUGUGACGGUACCUAGAUAAGAAGCACCGGCUAACUACGUG